CCUAAAUUUUAACCUUGCAGUUAUAAUAGAUUUUCUUCCUUGGAGAAGCCCACCGGGAUUUCACCCCGAGUUACCUUGGAUCUGUGGGCUCAGGAUGAUAGUUCCAGAGGAUCCCCUGAGCAGCCACAUAGAACUGCCUUACCCGCGCGGCCUCUGCCUGGUGGCUGCCCCAGCCCGCCCAGCGGGUGCCCAGAACCACCAGGAGGAAGAAGCGCGGGCAGACUGGGAGCAUGGCCCUUGUCCUGCCGCGCGCUGCCAACGCCGACAGUGUUCAGUGCUCUGUCCCUUUUGCGUGCUGUCCUGGCUCCCUGGAGGACUAAGAAGCUGCAGGGCACAGGGACAUAUGACAUACAUUUGUGCGUUCACUGGAAGGCCCAGCUGUCAUUUGGAGGAUUGUAACUGUGACCACAUUGGUGGUAGACAAAGUGCUAUAUACGGACCUUGUUGAACAAAACACGAAGAGCUUGAUAUUUGGGGAAGUCAAAUUAUACAUCCAAACAAUGGCCUUUGGGUGCUUUGGUGGAGGAAAGUCUGCAGUCAGAUGUGGCAUCCUGGCUCUGUUCCAGAUCUUCUGUGACCCCCUAGUACCAUCUGGAGGUUUCUGUGAAAGUCCCAGCAGCAGAGGUGUAAACAACCUCAUGGAUAUGAAACAAGGAAGACCCAGGAGAUUUUAAAGCAGGCAUCCCCUUAAACUAGAGGUCUGCCUUCCACCAACAUUGCAACUCUUCAAUCCCAAGAGAAAGACCUUCGGUUUUCCAGAGCCUGGUCAACUGGCGAGGCAGAUGCUCCAGUGCCUUGGACUAAAUCCGAUUUUCAGCAACAACAAAGUAACAACAAGCCACAGACCAGAGCAGAAACAUUUGCUCCUGGUUCUGUGGCUGAGCUGGAGGAAGAGAGCCUCAGCAAAUGCCGUGGAGUUACAGUCAAGUGUGACAGGAAACUUGACAUCUGCAUGUGGAAUCCUGAGAAAUCAAAUGAUACAUCGGGAGACCUGGUCUCUGAAAAAGAAACAAACUAAUUAAAUGACUGGUUCCUUAAAAGAUAAAGAAAUCUCUCACUGUGCACACCCCCUGACGUCUGAGACAGUUGCCUCUUUCUGGGUUCUACAGUCUACCAGCAGGAAAGGGGGUUUUUCACUGUACUGUUUGAAAAGAUGCCUUCAGAUGGUUUCUGUUCGGGUAGUACAGGGGAUUUUGAGGCAAGCCCACACUGUCAACUUCACUUCGUUAGCAACAACGGGAUCUCACACAUCCUGGAACAGGCUAUGUGCUGCUAGACCUCACAUCUGGGCGGGAAUGGAAAUCCUGGGAUAAAUUCCAUUGCCCCCUCUCUGUUACAUGUACUUGUUGCCAAUACAAUUUUACCAUAGCUUAACAUUCUAGUACAUGCUUAAAAAUCAAUACAUAUGAUGUACAGAAAAUUCAAGACUGGU
Molecule: long non-coding RNA, 1432 nt
Organism: Mus pahari (shrew mouse)
Lineage: Eukaryota; Metazoa; Chordata; Mammalia; Rodentia; Muridae
Exons: 3
Source: RefSeq, a predicted model, not a curated record